GCCCAGACUCCUACGGGAGGCAGCAGUGGGGAAUAUUGCACAAUGGGGGAAACCCUGACGCAGCGACGCCGCGUGAGUGAAGAAGUAUUUCGGUAUGUAAAGCUCUAUCAGCAGGGAAGAAAAUGACGGUACCUGACUAAGAAGCCCCGGCUAACUACGUGCCAGCAGCCGCGGUAAUACGUAGGGGGCAAGCGUUAUCCGGAUUUACUGGGUGUAAAGGGAGCGUAGACGGCAUGGCAAGUCAGAUGUGAAAGCCCGGGGCUCAACCCCGGGACUGCAUUUGAAACUGUCAGGCUGGAGUGCAGGAGAGGUAAGUGGAAUUCCUAGUGUAGCGGUGAAAUGCGUAGAUAUUAGGAGGAACACCAGUGGCGAAGGCGGCUUACUGGACUGUAACUGACGUUGAGGCUCGAAAGCGUGGGGAGCAAACAGGAUUAGAUACCCGCGUAAA
Molecule: ribosomal RNA, 448 nt
Filed under: uncultured bacterium
Lineage: Bacteria
Description: bacterial SSU rRNA
Rfam family: Bacterial small subunit ribosomal RNA
Source: RNAcentral